CGCCCUUAGAGUUUGAUCAUGGCUCAGGAUGAACGCUAGCGGGAGGCUUAACACAUGCAAGCCGAGGGGUAAGUUAGCUUGCUAACUAGACCGGCGCACGGGUGCGUAACGCGUAUGCAACUUGCCCUACUGAAGAGGAUAGCCCAGAGAAAUUUGGAUUAAUACUUUAUAAUAGACUAUGGCAUCAUUAGUUUUGAAAGAUUUAUCGCAGUAGGAUAGGCAUGCGUAAGAUUAGUUAGUUGGUAAGGUAACGGCUUACCAAGACGAUGAUCUUUAGGGGGCCUGAGAGGGUGAACCCCCACACUGGUACUGAGACACGGACCAGACUCCUACGGGAGGCAGCAGUGAGGAAUAUUGGACAAUGGGUGGAAGCCUGAUCCAGCCAUCCCGCGUGUAGGAUGACGGCCUUUGGGUUGUAAACUACUUUUAUCUGGGGAUAAACCUACUUACGUGUAAGUAGCUGAAGGUACCAGAAGAAUAAGCACCGGCUAACUCCGUGCCAGCAGCCGCGGUAAUACGGAGGGUGCAAGCGUUAUCCGGAUUUAUUGGGUUUAAAGGGUCCGUAGGCGGACUAAUCAGUCAGUGGUGAAAUCCCUUAGCUUAACUAAGAACUGCCAUUGAUACUGUUAGUCUUGAGUGAGGUUGCAGUGGCUGGGAUGUGUAGUGUAGCGUGAAAUGC
RNAcentral lists this ribosomal RNA (679 nucleotides) under uncultured Empedobacter sp. RNAcentral describes it as "bacterial SSU rRNA". It matches the Rfam family "Bacterial small subunit ribosomal RNA", at positions 1 to 689 of the family's 1533-position model. The record is from RNAcentral. Lineage: Bacteria; Pseudomonadati; Bacteroidota; Flavobacteriia; Flavobacteriales; Weeksellaceae.